UGGUCCUGGACCCACAGUCCCAUCCCCAUCACUCACCUGGCUGGCAAUACCUAAGGGGAAUAAACACCACAUCAUCGAAGAAUCCUAUGGGGACAAAUUCUUCUACACCUUUAGGUCUGAGUUUUCAGAGGACUACAGCUCCCAUGAUCCCCAAGAAGAACUGGACCUGAGCUUCAACAGCGAUGCACUUUGGGAAGAGGAGGAAGUACACAAAAAAAAUUCCCUUGCUUAAGCAAGAGAAGUAAAGUUUGAAGGUAAGUAGGGAAUCCUAAAUAGGGAGUAGUAAACUCUUCUGGAAAAUUUAAGUGGAAAUCUGUGAUGGUAAUGCAAGAGAGUUCCAAAGGGCUGAGAGGCAGCUAAGGAACUCUAAGGAAACUUGAUUUGUCAAGUAGAAGGGCUAUUAACCAGAAGUUUAUACAUGUUUAAGGCAGGAUGGCUGAUGAGUUAAAAGAAUGAGAGUUCUAAGGAAGAAAUUUAGAUUCUAGUGAAGAGAAAGGAAGAGGAAGACUGAAGGCACGAAAUGCUUGCUUCUGUGCCCAUUGUGUGCCCGUUGGUCUUUAGAGGCACAGUGGGAUGAAGGUUCCUAUUCCUCCUGCACAGGGAGAAACGCUGUGAUCAGGAGUGAGGAAGGUGAUAGGUGCUUUUUGACUGUUAGAGCAGCCUUAGUUUUUGUAAUGGGCUGUACAAGGGGUAAGGGCUUAACUGGAGAAUAAAGUGACCCACCUGUCCGUGGUAUAGGGUGAA
This 744-nucleotide long non-coding RNA is filed under the name Manacus vitellinus (golden-collared manakin). RNAcentral describes it as "lncRNA (ENSMVIG00005010213.1)". The record is from RNAcentral. Lineage: Eukaryota; Metazoa; Chordata; Aves; Passeriformes; Pipridae.